AAGAACUGACACGAUGAACACUUGUCUUAUCAGAUCUGCAUGUCUGUUGUGGCUAACAGUGGCAAAUCAUGCAAAAACUGUUCUCCAGAGUCCUAAUGACCUUAUAAACAUCCAAACUGAAUCAGCUGUUAUCGUCUGUUCUCACAAUAUACCAAACUACAACCAAAUACUGUGGUACAAACAGAGUCAGGACGUGCCUGGACUCAAGCUCAUGGGAUACCUUUACGGUAGUGAGAAUAUAGAGCCUGAUUUCACAAACAAGAUCAAACUGGAGGGAGAUGCAAGCAAAAAUGGCACUAUGACUAUCAAAAACCUCACGCCACAAGACAGCGCAGUGUAUUUCUGUGCAGCGUAUUACACAGUGAUAUAGUCAAUGAAAGCUUAAUACAAAAAGCUCUCUAUUCUACUCUCUGCCUCACCUGUGAAGAGCUCAGGCUUUGAUUUGCUGCCAAC
Molecule: non-coding RNA, 453 nt
Organism: Puntigrus tetrazona (Sumatra barb)
Lineage: Eukaryota; Metazoa; Chordata; Actinopteri; Cypriniformes; Cyprinidae
Source: the annotation of a RefSeq genome assembly